GACAUGGCAGGAAUCCCGAAGAGAUUUGGGAGUGCUCGAAAGAGAACCUGCACACAGGUGCUGCAUGGCUGUCGUCAGCUCGUGUCGUGAGAUGUUGGGUUAAGUCCCGCAACGAGCGCAACCCUUGCCAUUAGUUGCUACGAAAGGGCACUCUAAUGGGACUGCCGGUGACAAACCGGAGGAAGGUGGGGAUGACGUCAAGUCCUCAUGGCCCUUAUAGGUGGGGCUACACACGUCAUACAAUGGCCGGUACAGAGGGUAGCCAACCCGCGAGGGGGAGCCAAUCCCACAAAGCCGGUCGUAGUCCGGAUCGCAGUCUGCAACUCGACUGCGUGAAGUCGGAAUCGCUAGUAAUCGCGGAUCAGCAUGUCGCGGUGAAUACGUUCCCGGGUCUU
This 395-nucleotide ribosomal RNA is filed under the name uncultured Allobrachymonas sp. Its description in RNAcentral is "bacterial SSU rRNA". It matches the Rfam family "Bacterial small subunit ribosomal RNA", at positions 983 to 1382 of the family's 1533-position model. Lineage: Bacteria; Pseudomonadati; Pseudomonadota; Betaproteobacteria; Burkholderiales; Comamonadaceae. The record is from RNAcentral.